This 433-nucleotide ribosomal RNA is filed under the name uncultured bacterium. RNAcentral's name for it is "partial 16S ribosomal RNA". It matches the Rfam family "Bacterial small subunit ribosomal RNA", at positions 29 to 507 of the family's 1533-position model. The record is from RNAcentral.
AACGAACGCUGGCGGCAUGCCUAACACAUGCAAGUCGAACGAGACCUUCGGGUCUAGUGGCGCACGGGUGCGUAACGCGUGGGAACCUGCCCUUAGGUUCGGAAUAACUCCCCGAAAGGGGUGCUAAUACCGGAUAAUGUCUUCGGACUAAAGAUUUAUCGCCUUUGGAUGGGCCCGCGUUGGAUUAGCUAGUUGGUAGGGUAAAAGCCUACCAAGGCGACGAUCCAUAGCUGGUCUGAGAGGAUGAUCAGCCACACUGGGACUGAGACACGGCCCAGACUCCUACGGGAGGCAGCAGUGGGGAAUAUUGGACAAUGAGCGAAAGCCUGAUCAAGCAAUGCCGCGUGAGUGAUGAAGGCCUUAGGGUUGUAAAGCUCUUUUACCCGGGAUGAUAAUGACAGUACCGGGAGAAUAAGCUCCGGCUAACUCCGUG